Long non-coding RNA from Phragmites australis (common reed), 528 nucleotides. RefSeq lists it as uncharacterized. The record is from RefSeq and is a predicted model, not a curated record. NCBI's taxonomy places the organism in Eukaryota, Viridiplantae, Streptophyta, Magnoliopsida, Poales, Poaceae. The transcript has 2 exons.
CCCAGCCCAAUACAGCUUGAAAGGCAUCGAACCCUAUCGCUCCAGGCUCCACCCAUCGUUGCGCGUGCUCGAACAUGGGGCGCCACCGGCGAGCUCCUCGGCGCCUGCCGCUCAUGGCCGCUGGAUAGUCCAUGACUACACCGAUAUGCAUUGAGAGGAAAUAUUGUUGUCAUGCGUGCCCGGGCAGCCCAAUACCGGAAUUUGCUGUUUUGCUCAAUUUCGUCCGGAACGACUGAAAUUGACCAGAAUUCUAGCCGGUAUGGAACGCACUCCUCUUCAUAUCGUUUUCCUUGACGGCACGGAACGUGCCGGUGAUUACGGCCGGAACAGAAUUUACAAGUAUAGUGACUCCAGAAGCCAUUGAUGCAUUGGCUUGCUCCAGUCCUGGACCACUCUCACUUGACUGCUCAUACCCUUGAGCUUGAGCUUCUGACCAGAUCAUGCAGGGGAGGAAAGCGUACCGGUACAGUACUAUUCUCGGGGCCACACUUUGAUGGCUUAGACACUGACAUGAAUUUGUUUCGCUAA